GGGCGGGACCAUGAGGAGGGACGUAAAGGGGGCGGGGCGUUUGCAAAGGUGUGUGGCCGAGGCGGGGCGGGGCGGGCUCUGCAGCCGGGCGCCCACCCCUUGGCAGGAACGUCUGGCCUCAUCAGCAAGCAGUGUGCACACAAUUUGCAGACUACACGCUAUCAGCGAGACAGAGGCACGGGCAGGUCUUUGCGGGAAGGUCUGAAGGCAGACUCGGCAGGAACUGGGCAAACACAGGCGGUGAGUCACGUCUUCCCCCAUAGGGUCAGGGUGGCCAUCCCAGCAGAAUUACUUUGAAACAAAUCAGCUACAUUCAGAAUCUGAAACUAAGCACCAGUAACUAUACUUUGCAUAAAAGAGAAUAUUUAAAACAAGAGAAUUGAGAUACAAAGGACUCACUAGAAAAAGUAUAGACUAUAUGGAGGUUAUGAUUCUUGAUAUAAAUUGGCUCCUAUAAACCAAUUUUUUUAAAAAAAACCUUGAGCGCAAAUAGAACUGCCGAAUAGAACACAUAAAAUGAGAAAUUUCAAUGACCACAAACACAUGAACAUACAGCAUCACCAAGGUGCUACUUAUUUGACAAUCAGACUCGCAAGGACUUGCUGCUUUAUGGCCAGCGCCCUCCAGCUACCAGGUAAAGGCUUCUCCCACGCCGCCUCCCCUCUGAGGGCAGGGCCACGAAGCUUCACACCAGGCAGGAGCUCCACCUGCAGGAACUGCGCCGAGGGUCGCCCUUGCGUGUGAACCUGCGGCAGCACAGCUGAAAUGACCCUGACACAGCUCGUGGGGGAAGGUGCUUUGAGUCAUGGCCCCGGCCCCGUGUGACAGCUGUUAAAACAUAGAUGGAAGAAUAUAUGUAAUUAUUAAGUACAAAAGCUGAUUAUAAAAGUAUAUGGUAAUCCUAAUUUUGUAAAAAUGUUUUAAAUGAGAAAAUAAAUCCCAAAUACUAAUGCCAUUACUAUGGAGAGGAUUAUGGGAGAUUUUCAUUUUCUGCUUUAUAUUUUAUGUGCUUUGUAGAUUUUAUGCUGUAAGCAUAAAUGCUUUUAUAUUCAGAAAAGAAGAAUCCAUAAUCAAAUACAUCCUAUUUGGGGUAAUUUAAAAAACCUUUUCACACAUUUCAAAAUGCAGAAUUACAAAGUCAAUAACUUUUAUUAACAUGAUAUAAAAAAUUUUAGUGAUAAACAGAAUUCCUAGAAGUAGCUUUAAAACUUUAAUGCUUCUUAAAAUCUUAAUUUACAAGAUACUUGUCUUACUGUCACUGACCUUUCGAUACAAAAAUUUUACAAUAUUUGUUUGCUAUAAAACUCCAACAUUAAGGUCAGGGUCAGGGUCGGGUAGUUCUUCGCCCCGGCAGCCACUCUGUUCCGUGGAGCGGCCACUGGGCCACUGCGAGAACCUCUGUGUGUCGGACAAUAAGUUACACAGGUUAUAUACACAGUUACAAAAGGAUCAUCGAAUUCCAGGAUGUUGCCGCAAGCCACACCGCAGGCCGGCCCCACAGGCAACAGCUGCUGAGCACAAGCGACGUGCAGCCGAAGGAGAGUCCCCUGGGCCUGAGCCCAGCUAGCCAGGCCUUUGGUGGAGCAUUUCAAACGGCGGAGCCCUGAUAACAGCUCCGCCAGGCACGGAGCCAGGCCACUGCCAGGCUCCUUCCACGGCACCCUGGCUGUUUCUAGGCAGCAUCCUCGACUCACAAACCCUCCCAUCCUCCGUCCCCAACAUAACAUCCUGUUUCCCAGCAAAAUAAAAGCACUCUCGCUUAGACGCGAGCAUCCCUUCAAAUUCUUAGAAUACUUUGUGUUUGCGUCUUUGAUUUAGGUUUACUCGAUCAGACGACUCAGUUUAGUCACGUUUGAAUAAAAUAACUGAAUAUGAUUUGGCCAAGUUUCAUCGGCACAGAACUCAAGAUGCAGCCGCAGGGCAGGCUGUGGGCAGGCUCUCCGACCCCUCGGCGCACUGCCGGGGGCUCAGCAGACAGCGCAGAGGGCAGGAACCUCAGCCCAGCGGUGGUUCCUCAUUGUUGACUUACAGUAAAAAUAACAAUUCAAUACACUUCCACGCACAAGAGCUUCUACAGUGGUUAUGAAAACAAGCACUUCAGCGGAACAGCAAGAAGGCAGAAACCCAGAAAGUAGUUUAAAACUCAGUGCUGGUUCGUCCUUGUGAAACCGAGCCCCUCACCUGACAGCCCACACGGCCUCUGUUGCGUGUUAGUGGCAACAUGUGCGGAAAACUGGGCACACCUGUUUCAAGAGAGGCCACGUGUGUGUGUCCAGCCCAGUCUGGGGCCCAAGGACUCACUCCCCGUCCACCAGGCUCUGGGCGCUGCCCCUCCUUCUGAAAUGGAACUGAAGCAGCUGUACUUGGGCCUCAAGUUCUUUCUAGCAUCAAUUCUAUCUAUGAACUUGUCAUUUGAAGUGGGAAUAAAUAACUGAAUUUUAAAAUCAAUUUUUAUGUUUUUAGCUAAAAAAGUGCAAACUCACAACACAGCAGAGAACCAAGCCUGCAGCGCCUACAGCGCCCACGCCCAGCUUCCCUCCCCAUCACCCCAGUGGCGAAAACCCUGACAGUCAUGUCUUCGUCAAUGUGCCUGCGGAUUGAAAGAGUUCUUCAAAUGCUUGAGGGAGGGGUUUCUGAGAUGAGACGGACCUGUCGGCGGAGGACAGCCGGCCCCAGCGGCUGCGGACGCCACUGCGCCUUCCGCGGCUGGCCCUGCGCUCACAUGUUGUAGGCCACGUAGAUGGGGUCUAGCUGGUCGGCCAGGAAGCCGUCGCGCAGGUGCAUGCGCUGCUUCUCGCCCCGGGAGUUGAUGGGGA
Sus scrofa (pig) is the source of this 2816-nucleotide non-coding RNA. The record is from RefSeq and is a predicted model, not a curated record. Lineage: Eukaryota; Metazoa; Chordata; Mammalia; Artiodactyla; Suidae.